UUACGGCCAUAUCACGUUAAAACACCGGUUCACCUCCAGUCACCAAAGUUAAGCAACGUUGAAUUUGGUCAGUACUUAGAUGGGUGACCGUUCAGAAAUACCAGAUGCUGUAA
Molecule: non-coding RNA, 113 nt
Organism: Acanthosepion pharaonis
Lineage: Eukaryota; Metazoa; Mollusca; Cephalopoda; Sepiida; Sepiidae
Source: the annotation of a GenBank genome assembly